CCAGGGUGUUUAUGACCUGUCCCUGGCUCCACACAGCUCUUGUCAAUUUCUUCUAUUUGUCACUCUGAACUGUCAUUUAUAGUGAUAAGAAAAGAACAGAAGGCUCAGUAGAGGCGAACACCGAGGGAUGUUAAAGACAUCUGAGGACUCCCUGUUUUGCAUUUUGAGGACUAUUUUGAUCUCUGCCAGUUCAAAGUGGCCAAGAGGAGUCUGUAAGAUCCAUGAAUAUGUAUGCCCCGAACUGUAUGAUGAGGCCUCAAAACAGCAUCAGAAUAAAAAGCAUGCACCUGUAGAAUUCAUAUGCAUGCAACUGCAUCCAGAAUGGAAAUGACAGAACUCAUCUGAACCCCACAGUCCAUAAUAGAUCAACCUCAG
Heterocephalus glaber (naked mole-rat) is the source of this 375-nucleotide long non-coding RNA. The record is from Ensembl. Lineage: Eukaryota; Metazoa; Chordata; Mammalia; Rodentia; Bathyergidae.